RNAcentral lists this ribosomal RNA (489 nucleotides) under uncultured bacterium. RNAcentral describes it as "bacterial SSU rRNA". It matches the Rfam family "Bacterial small subunit ribosomal RNA", at positions 9 to 480 of the family's 1533-position model. The record is from RNAcentral.
GAGUUUGAACCUGGCUCAGGAUGAACGCUGGCGGCGUGCUUAACACAUGCAAGUCGAACGAAGCGUGUAAAACAAUCCUUCGGGUGCGUUUUAUAUGACUGAGUGGCGGACGGGUGAGUAACGCGUGGGGAACCUGCCGUAUGCAGGGGGACAACAGUCAGAAAUGACUGCUAAUACCGCAUAAGCACACAAUGCUGCAUGGCAUGGUGUGAAAAGAUUUAUCGGCAUACGAUGGCCCCGCGUCUGAUUAGCCAGUUGGCAGGGUAAUGGCCUACCAAAGCAACGAUCAGUAGCCGGCUUGAGAGAGUGACCGGCCACAUUGGGACUGAGACACGGCCCAGACUCCUACGGGAGGCAGCAGUGGGGAAUAUUGCACAAUGGGGGAAACCCUGAUGCAGCGACGCCGCGUGAGUGAUGAAGUAUUUCGGUAUGUAAAGCUCUAUCAGCAGGGAAGAAUAGGUCAUCAGCCUUUGGCUGGUGACAUGAAUG